RNAcentral lists this ribosomal RNA (846 nucleotides) under Triticum aestivum (bread wheat). RNAcentral describes it as "partial small subunit ribosomal RNA". Lineage: Eukaryota; Viridiplantae; Streptophyta; Magnoliopsida; Poales; Poaceae. The record is from RNAcentral.
AUGUUCAACACGGAUAUCAAGGUGGACUACAUACACAAUAAUCUUGCAGAAUGUUUUAAUAGUUGGGUUGAAAUGAAGGAUUUGCCUAUCGUCCAACUUUGUGACAAGCUGAGAGAGAUGGUUAUGGAGCUUUUUAGGAAGAGGAGAAGGAUUGGAAAAUGCUUACAAGGUAAAAUUCUGCCAGCCAUCAUGCAAGAACUGAACGAUAGGACUAGAGGAUUAGGCCAUCUACAGCCACAUGCAUCAAGUGAUAUGAGUGCCGAGGUCACUGAUACAGAGAAAGAUCACACUAAAAGGCAUGUAGUCAAGGCACUUGCACAUGAAUGUACUUGCAUGGAGUGGCAACAUACCGGAAAGCCAUGUCCACAUGCAUUAGUUGUUCUAACUGCACUGCAGAAUGUCAAAUUGGAGGACUUUGUGGACAGUUGCUACUCUGUUGAAAAAUUCAGGGCUGCAUAUCAAGGGGAAAUAGAACCACUCACAGACAAGACUCAGUGGCCUAUAGUGGAUCCAGGUUUUGUUCUCCUAGCACCACUGCCGAAAGCAGGUGCGGGAAGGCAUAGGAAACUAAGGAUAAAGGGUGCUCUUGAGGGGGGUUCAGGUAAUAAACCUAAGGUAGGUGGAAAAAACACAUGCAAAAAAUGCCAUGAACUUGGGCACAGGGAAGUUGGGUGUCCUUACAAUGGGCCGAAGAAAAGGUACAGUCACUUAUCCAACUUUUGCAAAAUAUGUAUGUUCUUUCAACCCUGUGCAAAUAAGUGUGCGCUUUUUAGUGCUAGGAAAAGUAGGAGAAAUGAGGCUCCAUGGGAAGCUGCAAGUAGUCCUCGAGCUGUGACAAGGAGGUAA